GUAUGUCAUCCUUGUGCAGAGGCCAUACUAAUCUUCUCUGUAUUGUUCCAAUUUCAGUGUAUAUGCUGCUGAAGUGAGCACUCAAUGCGGUUUCAAUUUGCAUUUUGAAUUACUCACUCUUAAAGGGCGAAUUAUAUGGGACACCACCAGAUCCGUGCUUUGCCGCGUCCCUGCCUCACAGACCUGUAGGUGCAGCAACGCCACCUCCUUGUGUCUCAACCAUCCUGAAGGGAAGGCUGCUAUUAUCUGCCUUCCCAGCGACUCAGGCUCGCCCCGAUGGUCCCCUUUCCAUCCAGUCGUUUCCCGCAGCCACUGCACUUAACUCUCAGGAUUAUUGCCUGUGUGGGUCGCUCAUUGCAUGUGAGCUUGCAGUGAUGGAACACUAGCCCCUGAAUAUUCCUG
RNAcentral lists this long non-coding RNA (402 nucleotides) under Vulpes vulpes (red fox). Its description in RNAcentral is "lncRNA (ENSVVUG00000014729.1)". Lineage: Eukaryota; Metazoa; Chordata; Mammalia; Carnivora; Canidae. The record is from RNAcentral.